RNAcentral lists this ribosomal RNA (253 nucleotides) under uncultured bacterium. Its description in RNAcentral is "partial 16S ribosomal RNA". It matches the Rfam family "Bacterial small subunit ribosomal RNA", at positions 524 to 776 of the family's 1533-position model. The record is from RNAcentral.
UACAGAGGUCUCAAGCGUUGUUCGGAUUCAUUGGGCGUAAAGGGUGCGUAGGUGGCGUCGUAAGUCAGGUGUGAAAUUUCGGAGCUUAACUCCGAAACUGCAUUUGAUACUGCGGUGCUUGAGGACUGGAGAGGAGACUGGAAUUUACGGUGUAGCAGUGAAAUGCGUAGAGAUCGUAAGGAAGACCAGUGGCGAAGGCGGGUCUCUGGACAGUUCCUGACACUGAGGCGCGAAAGCUGGGGGAGCAAACGGG